GAUGAACGCUAGCUACAGGCUUAACACAUGCAAGUCGAGGGGCAGCACAGUGUAGCAAUACACGGGUGGCGACCGGCGCACGGGUGCGUAACGCGUAUCCAACCUUCCCGAUACUCUUGGAUAGCCUUCCGAAAGGGAGAUUAAUACAAGAUGGUGUUUCACUUUCGCAUGUUAUUGAAACUAAAGAUUUAUCGGUAUCGGAUGGGGAUGCGUGACAUUAGAUAGUAGGCGGGGUAACGGCCCACCUAGUCUACGAUGUCUAGGGGUUCUGAGAGGAAGGUCCCCCACACUGGUACUGAGACACGGACCAGACUCCUACGGGAGGCAGCAGUGAGGAAUAUUGGUCAAUGGGCGAGAGCCUGAACCAGCCAAGUCGCGUGAGGGAAGACGGUACUAAGUAUUGUAAACCUCUUUUGUCAGGGAACAAAACCUGCAUGUAUGCAACAAUGAGUGUACCUGAAGAAAAGCAUCGGCUAACCCCGUGCCAGCAGCCGCGGU
This 498-nucleotide ribosomal RNA is filed under the name uncultured bacterium. RNAcentral describes it as "bacterial SSU rRNA". It matches the Rfam family "Bacterial small subunit ribosomal RNA", at positions 28 to 521 of the family's 1533-position model. The record is from RNAcentral.